UACGGGGGGGGCAAGCGUUGUUCGGAAUUACUGGGCGUAAAGGGCUCGUAGGCGGCCAACUAAGUCAGACGUGAAAUCCCUCGGCUUAACCGGGGAACUGCGUCUGAUACUGGAUGGCUAGAGUGUGGGAGAGGGAUGCGGAAUUCCAGGUGUAGCGGUGAAAUGCGCAGAUAUCAGGAGGAACACCGGUGGCGAAGGCGGUGGUCUGGGCCGGCACUGACGCUGAGGAGCGAAAGCGUGGGGAGCAAACAGG
RNAcentral lists this ribosomal RNA (253 nucleotides) under uncultured bacterium. RNAcentral describes it as "partial 16S ribosomal RNA". It matches the Rfam family "Bacterial small subunit ribosomal RNA", at positions 524 to 776 of the family's 1533-position model. The record is from RNAcentral.